GCACCAAUGUGGGUAGAUCUUACCUUAGAAGCAAUGUCUAAUUACCAAGACAUUAAUGAUGGGUGGUUUCACACUAGCCAUGUGUUCCACCAAUGUUCUUCUCAUCAGUUAAAAGCAGCAUUUGCUCAUUCUGGUGAGGGUAGUAUAUCCUCAGACAUUGAUAUGAAGCAGCCAUCUUCACCUAAGCUUCCACACUCAGUUUCAAGAUCCAGGGGCAAGCACUAUGCAAGCAACAAA
Molecule: unclassified non-coding RNA, 237 nt
Filed under: Hevea brasiliensis (rubber tree)
Lineage: Eukaryota; Viridiplantae; Streptophyta; Magnoliopsida; Malpighiales; Euphorbiaceae
Source: RNAcentral